GACGAACGCUGGCGGCGUGCUUAACACAUGCAAGUCGAACGAAGUGGCGAACGGGUGAGUAAUACGUGAGUAACCUGCCCUCCUUUUUGGGAUAAGCCUUGGAAACGGGGUCUAAUACCGAAUAAAGGGGGAUGGGCUCGCGGCCUAUCAGCUUGUUGGUGGGGUGAUGGCCUACCAAGGCGGUGACGGGUAGCCGGCCUGAGAGGGUGACCGGCGACAGUGGGACUGGGCUACGGCCCAGACGCCUACGGGAGGCGGCGGUGGGGGAUAAUGCACAGUGGGCGAAAGCCUGAUGCGGCGACGCUGCGUGGGGGGUGAAGGCUUUCGGGUUGUAAACCUCUUGCGCGAUCGGACGGGUAGGUGGAGGAGAAGCGCCGGCUAACUACGUGCCAGCAGCCGCGGUAAUUC
This 408-nucleotide ribosomal RNA is filed under the name uncultured bacterium. RNAcentral's name for it is "partial 16S ribosomal RNA". It matches the Rfam family "Bacterial small subunit ribosomal RNA", at positions 28 to 526 of the family's 1533-position model. The record is from RNAcentral.